CGCUGGCGGCAGGCCUAACACAUGCAAGUCGAGCGCGCCUUUCGGGGUGAGCGGCGGACGGGUUAGUAACGCGUGGGAACGUACCCUUUUCUGCGGAAUAGCCUCUGGAAACGGAGAGUAAUACCGCAUACGCCCUUUGGGGGAAAGAUUUAUCGGAGAAGGAUCGGCCCGCGUUAGAUUAGAUAGUUGGUGGGGUAACGGCUUACCAAGUCUACGAUCUAUAGCUGGUUUUAGAGGAUGAUCAGCAACACUGGGACUGAGACACGGCCCAGACUCCUACGGGAGGCAGCGGUGGGGAAUCUUGGACAAUGGGCGCAAGCCUGAUCCAGCCAUGCCGCGUGAGUGAAGAAAGCCUUAGGGUCGUAAAGCUCUUUCGCCUGUGAUGAUAUGACAGUAGCAGGUAAAGAAAACCCCGGCUACUCGUGCCAGCAGCCGCGGUAAUACGGAGGGGUUAGCGUUGAAGCC
This 465-nucleotide ribosomal RNA is filed under the name uncultured Paracoccaceae bacterium. RNAcentral describes it as "bacterial SSU rRNA". It matches the Rfam family "Bacterial small subunit ribosomal RNA", at positions 34 to 543 of the family's 1533-position model. Lineage: Bacteria; Pseudomonadati; Pseudomonadota; Alphaproteobacteria; Rhodobacterales; Paracoccaceae. The record is from RNAcentral.